This 436-nucleotide ribosomal RNA is filed under the name uncultured bacterium. Its description in RNAcentral is "bacterial SSU rRNA". It matches the Rfam family "Bacterial small subunit ribosomal RNA", at positions 62 to 524 of the family's 1533-position model. The record is from RNAcentral.
UCGAGCGAUUCUCUUCGGAGAAGAGCGGCGGACGGGUGAGUAACGCGUGGGUAACCUGCCCUGNUACACACGGAUAACAUACCGAAAGGUAUGCUAAUACGGGAUAACAUAUUUUAGUCGCAUGGCUGAAAUAUCAAAGCUCUGGCGGUACAGGAUGGACCCGCGUCUGAUUAGCUAGUUGGUGAGGUAAUGGCUCACCAAGGCGACGAUCAGUAGCCGACCUGAGAGGGUGAUCGGCCACACUGGAACUGAGACACGGUCCAGACUCCUACGGGAGGCAGCAGUGGGGAAUAUUGCACAAUGGGCGAAAGCCUGAUGCAGCAACGCCGCGUGAGCGAUGAAGGCCUUCGGGUCGUAAAGCUCUGUCCUCAAGGAAGAUAAUGACGGUACUUGAGGAGGAAGCCCCGGCUAACUACGUGCCAGCAGCCGCGGUAAU